UGCUGCCGAUGCUGCUGAUGCUGCUGCUGCUGCAAGGUGAAUAGAUAUGAUCAGUAUCAUCAUCAUCAUCAUCAUCAUCAUCAUCAUCAUCG
RNAcentral lists this microRNA precursor (92 nucleotides) under Bigelowiella natans CCMP2755. RNAcentral describes it as "miRNA EPrBNAG00000013608". The record is from RNAcentral. Lineage: Eukaryota; Cercozoa; Chlorarachniophyceae.